This 22-nucleotide microRNA is filed under the name Homo sapiens (human). RNAcentral's name for it is "hsa-miR-4714-3p". Lineage: Eukaryota; Metazoa; Chordata; Mammalia; Primates; Hominidae. The record is from miRBase by way of RNAcentral.
CCAACCUAGGUGGUCAGAGUUG